UACGAAGGGGGCUAGCGUUGUUCGGAAUUACUGGGCGUAAAGCAUAUGUAGGCGGAUCGUUAAGUCGGGGGUGAAAUCCCGAGGCUCAACCUCGGAACUGCCUUCGAUACUGGCGAUCUUCGAGUCCGGGAGAGGUGAGUGGAACUCCGAGUGUAGAGGUGAAAUUCGUAGAUAUUCGGAAGAACACCAGUGGCGAAGGCGGCUCACUGGCCCGGUACUGACGCUGAAAUACGAAAGCGUGGGGAGCAAACAGG
Molecule: ribosomal RNA, 254 nt
Filed under: uncultured bacterium
Lineage: Bacteria
Description: partial 16S ribosomal RNA
Rfam family: Bacterial small subunit ribosomal RNA
Source: RNAcentral